This 332-nucleotide long non-coding RNA is filed under the name Daucus carota (carrot). RNAcentral describes it as "long non-coding RNA (DCAR_LNC007147)". Lineage: Eukaryota; Viridiplantae; Streptophyta; Magnoliopsida; Apiales; Apiaceae. The record is from RNAcentral.
GGCAAAUCAACUACUGAAAUCCAUAUAUAAAUCCGCUAGAAUCCCACGAUAAUGAUUAGUUCAUAAUCGAACUUCUCAUCAUCAUGGGUUCGAAUGUAAACAUGGUACGGAAUAGUCUAAACAAUAUUAAAAGAGUAAAACAAGAGUUUCGAAACAAAUCCGAAUGAGCAUCCAAAGUUACGCCUACUUCGAAGAAUUACAAAGAUGAAAUUAUGAACUAGAUCUUCUUCGUAGCCGUCACGUGCUCCUUGGAAUGAUUCUAGGUUAUUAGGCUUCUCCCUUGAGCUUUUGUUUAAGUCCCACAGCGAUCGGGCCUUCAAACGGAUCAAGAA